CCGGUCAUAAACCGGAGGAAGUGGGGAUGACGUCAAGUCAGCAUGGCCUUUAUAUCCUGGGCUACACACACGCUACAAUGGGAAGGGACAAUAGGUUGCGAAGCCGCGAGGCGGAGCCAAUCCAGCAAAACUUCCCUCAGUUCAGAUUGGCAGGCUGCAACCCGCCUGCAUGAAGUUGGAGUUGCUAGUAAACGCAGGUCAGCCAUACUGCGGUGAAUACGGUUCCCGGGUCUU
This 234-nucleotide ribosomal RNA is filed under the name uncultured Anaerolineaceae bacterium. Its description in RNAcentral is "partial 16S ribosomal RNA". It matches the Rfam family "Bacterial small subunit ribosomal RNA", at positions 1152 to 1382 of the family's 1533-position model. The record is from RNAcentral. Lineage: Bacteria; Bacillati; Chloroflexota; Anaerolineae; Anaerolineales; Anaerolineaceae.